This 294-nucleotide unclassified non-coding RNA is filed under the name Hevea brasiliensis (rubber tree). Lineage: Eukaryota; Viridiplantae; Streptophyta; Magnoliopsida; Malpighiales; Euphorbiaceae. The record is from RNAcentral.
GCGUACGUACUGGUUGGUCUGCACGCUUGGGAUGAUGUACUUCAUCGUCCGCUUCUGACCGCUCACCGUCCAGUUCGCCGAGCUGAAGCUUGCGACAAUGGCCGCCGACGGAUUGGUUGCGUUGGUGUAGUUCGGGCUGUUGUCNNNACACCGGUGAUGUUGCCGCGGAUGAAGUCGACCUGUCGCAGGGUCGGCCGGUUCAGCGGCUCCUGGAUGCUGAGCUGCAUCAACGAAGGAUUGUUGAAGCUGUACGGCGAGUUGUUGGGCGUGGUCGGCAGGGUUACUUCAAGGGUG